Molecule: long non-coding RNA, 1058 nt
Organism: Thamnophis elegans (Western terrestrial garter snake)
Lineage: Eukaryota; Metazoa; Chordata; Lepidosauria; Squamata; Natricidae
Exons: 3
Source: RefSeq, a predicted model, not a curated record
AUGAAACAUAACAGCUGUAGAAAUAAAGGCUAUAACUUUGUAAUUUUUAUUUUGUGGAAGGUACUGCAUGUUGUGCCCCAGCGAUCCAUGAAUCAGACCUCCUGACUGGAUGUAGUGAUAUUCAGACAACUCUACGGACUAUGAGAUACAUGCAGUUGGCCAACUUGACAGGCAUUCCAGCCCUUGUGGUACCAGUUGGAUAUACAAUUUCAGGGCUUCCCAUCAGCCUUCAAAUGAUGACAAAGUGGUGGAAUGAAGCCUUGCUGUUCCAAAUAGGCCUGAAACUGGAGCAAUUUCGUGGUACACCAGCAAAACCAAUAAUUUACUAUGAUAUUCUGAGAUAAUAUGGCUAGCUUCAAAUUUCCUUUACACUUCCAGUUCCAAUACAGUUGUCUGUUUAAAGUAUGUAUGCCUUAAGGGAAGAGAGUUAGUCAGGACAGGUUCACCAGCUCCCAUUAAAAAAUGCAGAGAAAAUUAAAUUGGAAUGAAACGGUAACUUACUAAAGGAUGUACAAUGCUGUAUGCCUGCAGUGUUUACAGUUUAUACCGACACCAACUGUUUAUAAACAUCCAGAUGCUGCAGAUUUUUGCGAUUGAGCAAAUUCUCUUCAGAUACAAUUUGUUUGAAUGCAUUUUAAAUACUGUAUGUGACAUUUGCAUUCAGCUUGUAUAUAUAAUGGCACAGAAUAUUGAUAUGUUUCUGACAUGGAAAAUACUUUCUUAGAAAGGGUGAUGGGUAUUUAUAGAUUUUUAAAAAAAAAAACCCAAUUCUUACAAAAAACUAACAAUAUAUACCCUCUAGUGAUAUUGUACAAUUGCAUUUCUUUAUAGUUCAGCAGAACGUUAAUUUCUUGUGUCAAAAUGAAAGCAAAUUAUUUUACUACAGGCUGGUGCAUCCAUGCUCCUUUUCAAAGUGAUAGAAAUCAAUUGAUUCAGAAAAUAUGAUGGAAAAUAGAGAUGUCUCUUAAUUGGCAUCAACAUCAUUAAUACAAUAUUUAAUGCAAUGGAUUUGUUCACUUAUCCGAGUCUGAGAUAAAAUUAAUACAUUAUUCAGAAAA